UCCGACUUGACGUCGGCAGUCUCGUUAGAGUGCCCCACUUAAGGCUGGCAACUAACGACAGAGGUUGCGCUCGUUGCGGGACUUAACCCAACAUCUCACGACACGAGCUGACGACAGCCAUGCAGCACCUAUGCACGGACCCCGAAGAGGGCCCGCCGUUUCUGGCGGGUUUCCCGUGCAUGUCAAGCCCAGGUAAGGUUCUUCGCGUUGCGUCGAAUUAAGCCACAUGCUCCGCCGCUUGUGCGGGUCCCCGUCAAUUCCUUUGAGUUUUAGCCUUGCGGCCGUACUCCCCAGGCGGGGUGCUUAAUGCGUUAGCUGCGGCACGGAUCCCGUCGAUAGGGACCCACACCUAGCACCCAUCGUUUACGGCGUGGACUAC
This 379-nucleotide unclassified non-coding RNA is filed under the name uncultured bacterium. RNAcentral describes it as "contains 16S-23S intergenic spacer region". The record is from RNAcentral.